GACGAACGCUGGCGGCGUGCUUAACACAUGCAAGUCGAACGGAAAGGCCCUGCUUUUGUGGGGUGCUCGAGUGGCGAACGGGUGAGUAACACGUGAGUAACCUGCCCUUGACUUUGGGAUAACUUCAGGAAACUGGGGCUAAUACCGGAUAGGAGCUCCCGCUGCAUGGUGGGGGUUGGAACGUUUCGGCGGUCGGGGAUGGACUCGCGGCUUAUCAGCUUGUUGGUGGGGUAGUGGCUUACCAAGGCUUUGACGGGUAGCCGGCCUGGGAGGGUGACCGGCCACAUGGGGACUGAGAGACGGCCCAGACUCCUACGGGAGGCAGCAGUGGGGAAUAUUGCACAAUGGGCGGAAGUCUGAUGCAGCAACGCCGCGUGCGGGAUGACGGCCUUCGGGUUGUAAACCGCUUUCGCCUGUGACGAAGCGUGAGUGACGGUAAUGGGUAAAGAAGCACCGGCUAACUACGUG
This 468-nucleotide ribosomal RNA is filed under the name uncultured bacterium. RNAcentral describes it as "partial 16S ribosomal RNA". It matches the Rfam family "Bacterial small subunit ribosomal RNA", at positions 28 to 507 of the family's 1533-position model. The record is from RNAcentral.